Molecule: ribosomal RNA, 253 nt
Filed under: uncultured bacterium
Lineage: Bacteria
Description: partial 16S ribosomal RNA
Rfam family: Bacterial small subunit ribosomal RNA
Source: RNAcentral
UACGGGGGGGGCAAGCGUUGUUCGGAAUUACUGGGCGUAAAGGGCUCGUAGGUGGCCAACUAAGUCAGACGUGAAAUCCCUCGGCUUAACCGGGGAACUGCGUCUGAUACUGGAUGGCUUGAGUUCGGGAGAGGGAUGCGGAAUUCCAGGUGUAGCGGUGAAAUGCGUAGAUAUCUGGAGGAACACCGGUGGCGAAGGCGCCCACCUGGCCUGCUACUGACGCUGAAGCUCGAAAGCUAGGGGAGCAAACGGG